CGGCUUUAUUGCUCGCAAUUCCACCACAUCGUUGUGGUUAGUUUGUUUCGGUGCCAAAGCCUUCUCAGGGAGGCCUGUAAAAAAUAACUAAAGAACUCCAGAUUCAUGGGACCUCACAAUUGUCAUUUCAGAGUUUCAUUGCAUAGCUCUUCAUAUCCCAAAUUGAAAGUUUCAUCAUUCCUCAGAUACAUCAGCAUUUGCAUCUGAUACCACAAUAUGAGCUCUGAUCGGC
Molecule: long non-coding RNA, 232 nt
Filed under: Phoenix dactylifera (date palm)
Lineage: Eukaryota; Viridiplantae; Streptophyta; Magnoliopsida; Arecales; Arecaceae
Description: long non-coding RNA (PDAC_LNC004439)
Source: RNAcentral